RNAcentral lists this ribosomal RNA (497 nucleotides) under uncultured bacterium. RNAcentral's name for it is "partial 16S ribosomal RNA". It matches the Rfam family "Bacterial small subunit ribosomal RNA", at positions 28 to 507 of the family's 1533-position model. The record is from RNAcentral.
GAUGAACGCUGGCGGCGUGCCUAAUACAUGCAAGUCGAGCGAACAGACGAGGAGCUUGCUCCUCUGACGUUAGCGGCGGACGGGUGAGUAACACGUGGAUAACCUACCUAUAAGACUGGGAUAACUUCGGGAAACCGGAGCUAAUACCGGAUAAUAUAUUGAACCGCAUGGUUCAAUAGUGAAAGACGGUUUUGCUGUCACUUAUAGAUGGAUCCGCGCCGCAUUAGCUAGUUGGUAAGGUAACGGCUUACCAAGGCAACGAUGCGUAGCCGACCUGAGAGGGUGAUCGGCCACACUGGAACUGAGACACGGUCCAGACUACUACGGGAGGCAGCAGUAGGGAAUCUUCCGCAAUGGGCGAAAGCCUGACGGAGCAACGCCGCGUGAGUGAUGAAGGUCUUCGGAUCGUAAAACUCUGUUAUUAGGGAAGAACAAAUGUGUAAGUAACUAUGCACGUCUUGACGGUACCUAAUCAGAAAGCAACGGCUAACUACGUG